This is a non-coding RNA of Acanthosepion pharaonis, 112 nucleotides long. Lineage: Eukaryota; Metazoa; Mollusca; Cephalopoda; Sepiida; Sepiidae. The record is from the annotation of a GenBank genome assembly.
UUACGGCCAUAUCACGUUGAAAAACCGGUUCGCAUACGAUCAUCGAAGUUAAGCAACGUCGAGCCUGGUCAGUACCUAGAUGGAUGACCGCUUGGGAAUACCAUGUGCUGGA